RNAcentral lists this ribosomal RNA (269 nucleotides) under Escherichia coli. RNAcentral describes it as "partial 16S ribosomal RNA". It matches the Rfam family "Bacterial small subunit ribosomal RNA", at positions 1 to 266 of the family's 1533-position model. Lineage: Bacteria; Pseudomonadati; Pseudomonadota; Gammaproteobacteria; Enterobacterales; Enterobacteriaceae. The record is from RNAcentral.
AAAUUGAAGAGUUUGAUCAUGGCUCAGAUUGAACGCUGGCGGCAGGCCUAACACAUGCAAGUCGAACGGUAACAGGAAGCAGCUUGCUGCUUUGCUGACGAGUGGCGGACGGGUGAGUAAUGUCUGGGAAACUGCCUGAUGGAGGGGGAUAACUACUGGAAACGGUAGCUAAUACCGCAUAACGUCGCAAGACCAAAGAGGGGGACCUUCGGGCCUCUUGCCAUCGGAUGUGCCCAGAUGGGAUUAGCUAGUAGGUGGGGUAAAGGCUC